CCAGAGAGAAGCUCCCGUCUGAACGCCAGGAGGAGGGUCCUGAAUCAGCUGGCACCUGGAUCUCAGACUUCCAGCCUCCAGAACGAGAGCACCCGGUCUGCCUACAGCUGUGGAGGGGCCUCAUUGGUCCAACUGGACGGAAAUAACUCAGGACUCCCCCUGGUGGUCUCUAAAGACUCUGCAAUGCAAUCACCAUCUUACAGCUCUUCACUGACAUGCCUUGAGAAGACCAUUUAAAAUAAAAGCGAAACCAUCGGGCUGUCAAUUGGGAACACCCCACAGACCAG
Artibeus jamaicensis (Jamaican fruit-eating bat) is the source of this 287-nucleotide long non-coding RNA. RefSeq lists it as uncharacterized. The transcript is spliced from 3 exons. The record is from RefSeq and is a predicted model, not a curated record. NCBI's taxonomy places the organism in Eukaryota, Metazoa, Chordata, Mammalia, Chiroptera, Phyllostomidae.